GGAAUAUUGGACAAUGGGCGAAAGCCUGAUCCAGCAAUGCCGCGUGUGUGAAGAAGGCCUGCGGGUUGUAAAGCACUUUCAGUAGAGAAGAAAAGCCUGCGGUUAAUAACCGCGAGUCUUGACGUAACCUACAGAAGAAGCACCGGCUAACUCCGUGCCAGCAGCCGCGGUAAUACGGAGGGUGCAAGCGUUAAUCGGAAUUACUGGGCGUAAAGCGCGCGUAGGCGGUUUGUUAAGUCAGCUGUGAAAGCCCCGGGCUCAACCUGGGAACUGCAGUUGAUACUGGCCGACUAGAGUACGAGAGAGGGAGGUAGAAUUCCAUGUGUAGCGGUGAAAUGCGUAGAUAUAUGGAGGAAUACCGGUGGCGAAGGCGGCCUCCUGGCUCGAUACUGACGCUGAGGUGCGAAAGCGUGGGGAGCAAAC
RNAcentral lists this ribosomal RNA (423 nucleotides) under uncultured bacterium. RNAcentral describes it as "bacterial SSU rRNA". It matches the Rfam family "Bacterial small subunit ribosomal RNA", at positions 358 to 773 of the family's 1533-position model. The record is from RNAcentral.